RNAcentral lists this small nuclear RNA (99 nucleotides) under Jaculus jaculus (lesser Egyptian jerboa). Lineage: Eukaryota; Metazoa; Chordata; Mammalia; Rodentia; Dipodidae. The record is from RNAcentral.
GUGCUUGCUUUGGCAGCACAUAUAGUAAAAAUGGGACAAUAAAGAUUAGCACAGACCCUGCACAAAGACACGCAAAUUUAUGAAGUAUUCCAUCUUUUU